Molecule: unclassified non-coding RNA, 1080 nt
Filed under: Hevea brasiliensis (rubber tree)
Lineage: Eukaryota; Viridiplantae; Streptophyta; Magnoliopsida; Malpighiales; Euphorbiaceae
Source: RNAcentral
AGUGAGGGUUUGCCUAAGGUUCUAGUUGGUUGGGAAGGCUGACUUGGUUCGGUUUAAGGUUGGGAACCGAGCAAGUGCCGCACGUUUACAAGCGAGAAAAGUCUUGUGGCGUGACAAAUUGCUGUCUUUUGAAGGUAGGAGUUCGUUACAGGGAGUGCUGCUAAGGUAUUUUGUAAGUUCCUGCAUAUCAAGUUCUAAGGUAAGCGCUGUGCUAAGUUUAUAAGUCCGUCUCUGUCGAUUCAGUUGCAGUUAUUCGCCUUUCUUGCGAGCCAGAAGUUGUAGUUGUUUUCCUUUCAUUCACCCUCUCCCUGUCAUUGGCUAUCCUAAGCCUUUCUUUCGUCCUGCCAUUCUUUCUGCUAGCUAUCUAGUGGGAGAAAAAAGAGAAGCCCAUACUGUUGGAGUGCUAGGCUAAGCCCUUUCCCUAAAGAGUACUUUCGUAUGCAUAACCUGUUCUUUCCUAUGGCUAAGCCGUGGAAUCCUAUGGACGUGGAAGACUAUAGAUAAGCAGUGGAAGUUAGAUCAGUUGCUUAGGAAGGUGCCUAUAGAAGUUCCCUGCCAUGCAUUUCCUGGACUCUGAUAGCCCUGCAUAUGAUUCUAUGGCGGUCCCAGGGGAGUUCCCUGCAGCCUAUAUAUAAAGCUAUAUAGUUUCAAUGGCAGUUGCCUUCGGUGCAUUUUCAGUAAAAAGAAUAUCAAAAUCCCUAGCCAGCUUAUCUAAUCUCCCAGACUAGCCAGUUCGAGGGUUAUAGUUCCAGUCGUAAGCCCAUCCUAACUAAGCUCUUCCAUUGCUAAUGCCGUACUUGGGUUUUUAGAAGGAACAGAAGUGGAAAUUAUAGAUUGAGUUCUCUUUGCUAUUCUGUCUUUCGCCCUUCCAGUCCAUCGAUUGUUAGUUCUCUUGAGACUUCUGUUACAUCCCUUAAGUCAGUCUUAAGGGUAGAUAGCGCUAUAGGCUAACGAUAAGAUUCAAGGGCCUUCUAUUUAGUCGAUGCUUGUUUUUCCUUUGAUGGAGAAGUAGUAGUUGCUUCUCUCUUCAAGUUCAAGCGAGUUGUUGGAGUGCUUUUGUAAGAAGCCCCUCCUGUUGGC